AGGACCUGGAUAUUGAGGAAUAUAACACGAGGAGGUUCCACUUCGCCGAGCACAAGCCGCCAUCAAGACAGAGCAAGAGCCUCACUGAGAGUCAUGAGAAGAUCAGCAAGCUACAAGCCUGGUGUAAGUUCCAAUAUAAGUUCAUUGGUAAGUGCUUCAAGAUGUACACAUCUAUGCAGAAGAAGUUAAACCGCUCCUCUACUAGCACUUCUGCUCCA
Molecule: microRNA precursor, 218 nt
Filed under: Arabidopsis halleri subsp. gemmifera
Lineage: Eukaryota; Viridiplantae; Streptophyta; Magnoliopsida; Brassicales; Brassicaceae
Description: pre miRNA MIR854
Rfam family: MIR854 microRNA precursor family
Source: RNAcentral